UACGAAGGGGGCUAGCGUUGCUCGGAAUCACUGGGCGUAAAGGGUGCGUAGGCGGGUUUUUAAGUCAGGGGUGAAAUCCUGGAGCUCAACUCCAGAACUGCCUUUGAUACUGAAGAUCUUGAGUUCGGGAGAGGUGAGUGGAACUGCGAGUGUAGAGGUGAAAUUCGUAGAUAUUCGCAAGAACACCAGUGGCGAAGGCGGCUCACUGGCCCGAUACUGACGCUGAGGCACGAAAGCGUGGGGAGCAAUCAGG
RNAcentral lists this ribosomal RNA (253 nucleotides) under uncultured bacterium. Its description in RNAcentral is "partial 16S ribosomal RNA". It matches the Rfam family "Bacterial small subunit ribosomal RNA", at positions 524 to 776 of the family's 1533-position model. The record is from RNAcentral.